Molecule: ribosomal RNA, 253 nt
Filed under: uncultured bacterium
Lineage: Bacteria
Description: partial 16S ribosomal RNA
Rfam family: Bacterial small subunit ribosomal RNA
Source: RNAcentral
UACGGGGGGGGCAAGCGUUGUCCGGAAUUAUUGGGCGUAAAGAGCUUGUAGGCGGUUUGUCGCGUCUGCUGUGAAAUUUCGGGGCUCAACCCCGAACUUGCAGUGGGUACGGGCAGACUAGAGUGUGGUAGGGGAGACUGGAAUUCCUGGUGUAGCGGUGAAAUGCGCAGAUAUCAGGAGGAACACCGAUGGCGAAGGCAGGUCUCUGGGCCAUAACUGACGCUGAGAAGCGAAAGCAUGGGGAGCGAACAGG